Non-coding RNA from Rhopilema esculentum, 3550 nucleotides. Lineage: Eukaryota; Metazoa; Cnidaria; Scyphozoa; Rhizostomeae; Rhizostomatidae. The record is from RefSeq and is a predicted model, not a curated record.
UAAGCUGCAACAGAACAACUCUGAUUUAAUCAACUUUAUUGUGGACUUAAAUGGGCAUAUGUCACGCUGGGUAUGAUCACUCUGUGGUAUGAUGCUCUCUUUUCUGUGACGUCAAUCGAGAGUCCUCCUGAGGAUUGAUGCCAUUGAUUAGUGAUUUCAUGGAUGAGUUCAAUCAGGAAUGUUGUCGAAACAGCGCUUAUGUUCGGUAGCCUUUGUUCCAACGCUCGACAACGCUAAUGUACGGAACAAUCGGGGACGGAUUGAGCGGGGGGUGUAUAGGAUAACAUCAAGAUUUAACUUGUCUGAGAAAAGUGCCAAUAUUCAAUAGAAUUAGUACCUUAGGGGAGAGACUUUAUAUUGCAGACAACAUCAAGGCGUUUUUAGAGACUGCAAGCAAAUGACUGCAUAAUAAUUAUUCUGAAAUGUAUUUUAAGCUUAUCUCAAGGGCGUCGUCGCAAAAAUUUUCCCUCCUCUAUACCUCCUCUAUAGCUCUAGAGAAUGUUCAACAAUGUCCCUUCGUUUUAGGGUUUAUAUAGAGAAGUCCUUCACGUUCUUUAGAUAUAACCGAUAAACUAAAAUGCCCAAGUCAUAAAAGGCAUUUGGGGGCAGAUUUAAGUAAGGGUCAGAGUUCUAUCUUUUUCAGCGUUUUUCAGCGUUUCCCUGGAAGAGCAGCUGCUAUAAGAUCGAUUACUGUGCAUAAUUUAACUUUAACUGUAGAUAAAUUAUAUUAAUGUAACUAGGGUAUUUAUUUUUUUAUUUGGUAUUUAGUUAUAAGCUGAAGGAAUUUUUGUGUAUAAAGAAUAUAAAAUGAAAACUGAAAAUGAAAAUGAAACUUGUUAGCUGUACGAUUUUUCAUACUGGAAUCAAAAUCUGCAUGGUUGAGCCUGUUUUGUGAUUUUAGAGCCUCCACUAUAAAAACAACGACGAAACCAAAACAGAAAGUUUAAAUUUCUGUUUUCAUUGACAAAUUAUAAUGAUGACGAUGAUAAUGAGGUUGCUUUUAGCCGGAGCUGAUUUACAAGGGGCCUUCCGUAUAAAAACUCUAACUACAUUCAAAUAUAUAAAAAUCAAAUUAAAUACAAUAUUAAGUAAGUAAAAUUUCUAAAAAGCUUACAAUAAUAUUAAUAAUUAUAAAAUGAAUUAUAAAGUAAGGAAAGUCGUAAGCUCUCUACAUAACACUCAAGCCAAUAAACGAUUUACCGAUUACUAGCGCCAUUAUGAAAUGAGGGAAAAUUUCACUCGCCCCAAGCUCCUGAAUAAAAACAAAAAUUUACCAAUUUUCAACCCUCCGAUUUUACACCAAAACAAAGCUACUUUUACCUAAAUUCUAGUGCAAAGUAAUAUUUAAUCACUAAAGUAUGUAAUAAAUACUUACUUACAACGAUUUAUUUUGUUUUUUGGUCUUCCACUGCCAUAAUUGACGACGAGGUACAAACAUCCUAAAUUCAUGGUGUUCCCUUUGAUCGGGAAUAUUUUUUGGCCACGUAGGCCCAGAACGUCCAGAAAACGUUUAAAUGAAUCCUCUUGAGUUUGCCUCUCAGUCAAUAUACCUCUAUUAGAAAUAGGCAUCAGAUUGGCUGAAAUACAGAAUGCCAAAGAUAUCCCCUUUUUGAUCAGCUGACUCGAGUAAAUGCGUCAUUGAAGGCGUGUUUUCCCCGUGAGUGCGUGACUCAAAGUUCUCUAAAUACGCUAUUCUAUGCAAAAGAAUGUGUGGAAGAAAGCUUCCUUUUCCGUUGUAUUUCCAAUAAAAUAUUUUAAGUGGGUGUAUUGGGUAUUAUGAUAUUUUUACUUUAAAUUAUCUUGCUUUGCUCUAUGAAGAUUUAUACUGAGUUUUGCAAAAGUACGUAUUACAAACAUCAACAUGAGUAAGAGAAAGGAGAUUUGUUGUAUUGGAAGCUGCAAUAAUAAGUCUUGGCUUUCAGAUAAAUGGUGUGUGAGGGGCCACGUUGAAAAUUUGAAAUUUCAUGCUUUUCCAAAAGAUUCGAAUAAAUUUCACCAAUGGGAAAAUGCAGUUGCAAAGGGCCGCGUGUACUACAAGAUUGAAUUUCUGUUUCAGUCAGCUGACAAGGGAAUCUGACGUUCGAUUUUAUACUGGCUUUAAAUCGGCAAAAUUGUUUCAAGGCAUUUUUGAGCAUCUUCAGCCAAUUGCCUCGCAAAUGAGCUACUGGAGCCCAUUCAGUCCUUUUCUCAGUAUAAAUCUUCAUAGAGCAAAGCAAGAUAAUUUAAAGUAAAAAUAUCAUAAUACCCAAUACACCCACUUAAAAUAUUUUAUUGGAAAUACAACGGAAAAGGAAACUUUCUUCCACACAUUCUUUUGCAUAGAAUAGCGUAUUUAGAGAACUUUGAGUCACGCACUCACGGGGAGAACACGCCUUCAAUGACGCAUUUACUCGAGUCAGCUGAUCAAAAAGGGGACAUCUUUGGCAUUCUGUAUUUCAGCCAAUCUGAUGCCUAUUUCUAAUAGAGGUAUAUUGACUGAGAGGCAAACUCAAGAGAAUUCAUUUAAACGUUUUCUGGACGUUCUGGGCCUACGUGGCCAAAAAAUAUUCCCGAUCAAAGGGAACACCAUGAAUUUAGGAUGUUUGUACCUUGUCGUCAAUUAUGGCAGUGGAAGACCAAAAUACAAAAUAAAUCGUUGUAAGUGCAAGGCCCCUUUAAGCUACCAUAAUCACGGGGCCUGGGGCCAUGGCCCUCCUGGACCCCUCUCAAAACCGCCACUGGAUGCGAUAAGAAUUUUUUCAUACAAACCAUGGGGCAAGCAUCAAGAGCGGAUGGAUGUAAUGAUGAAACUUAAUAUACCUUAUCAGAAGUAUAAAAAUGUAUAUAGAAUGAAUGUCAACCGAUAUGGACACAAAUAACAAAUAGAAGUGUUUAAAUUAUAGCAGUGGCAUUAAAAGGCAACUUACAUGGUUUGCGUUGAUGGAUCCGCGAUGUCAGCUCGCAUAGACCAUCCAUUUCGAAAUGUUCUCUCCCUGUAAGGAGAUAUUGGCAAGUGAGCAACACAUGUUUUCACGCGCAAAAGUAUCUCCUAUCACCAAUAAAAUUGAUCCCAGCGCUUCUUUGGUCAACCAGGGAUUAGUUCGUUUGAGGGAAAAAUAAAUGAUGUGAGCCAGUUCUUGUAAGGACUUGCGUAACUAACCUGAUGUAUUCAAUGGGCUUUAUUUUAUGAGCUCUGUCCCGGGGGCUAGGGCAGGGGCUUUGCAAGAAAAAAGUUCACAUGGGAUAAACAGUGUUUGCCAAUCAAAACCUUCCCUUUAGCCAAACAAUUAUUUUGAAGAAGUGGAAGCUUUGGGGUCACUGUGAACCAUUCUAGUGAAUAUAAGUUAUAUCCACUUACCCUGAGUACCAGAACAACAUAAAUCUUAGCCUGUGUUCCAGACCUCUACUUUCAGGUUAGGGGUCUGGCCCACAGACUACAACCACUGCCAAAAGUACUUGGAACAUCCAACACUUUGCACUGUGCUUUUCUAUUUUCAUUUGUUUUCCCGAAUACUACUACUUCAGCCCCUUUCCCCCAAAAUAAUGUUGAAAAUAUCAUACAGCAUACAAG